This 462-nucleotide ribosomal RNA is filed under the name uncultured bacterium. RNAcentral's name for it is "bacterial SSU rRNA". It matches the Rfam family "Bacterial small subunit ribosomal RNA", at positions 1 to 507 of the family's 1533-position model. The record is from RNAcentral.
AGAGGUUUGAUCCUGGCUCAGGAUGAACGCUGGCGGCGUGCCUAAUACAUGCAAGUCGAGCGGCAGCAUAGUCUUCGGACUGAUGGCGAGCGGCGGACGGCAGAGUAACGCGUAGGAACAUACCCCAAACUGAGGGAUAACUGCUCGAAAGAGUAGCUAAUACCGCAUGUGGUCUUAGGCUAAAGCUUCGGCGUUUGGGAAUGGCCUGCGUCUGAUUAGCUUGUUGGUGAGGUAAAAGCUCACCAAGGCGACGAUCGGUAGCUGGUCUGAGAGGAUGAUCAGCCUGACUGGAACUGAGAACGGUCCAGACUCCUACGGGAGGCAGCAGUAGGGAAUUUCCACAAUGGGCGAAAGCCUGAUGGAGCAACGCCGCGUGCAGGAUGAAUGCCUUCGGGUUGUAAACUGCUUCUAUGUGCGAAGAAUUUGACGGUAACACAUGAAUAAGGGUCGGCUAACUACGUG